RNAcentral lists this long non-coding RNA (1532 nucleotides) under Homo sapiens (human). RNAcentral describes it as "HSALNT0360292". The record is from RNAcentral. Lineage: Eukaryota; Metazoa; Chordata; Mammalia; Primates; Hominidae.
GGCGGGCUGCACAAGGAUAUAACUAACUGUCACUGUUUCAGAUUCAGUAUCUGUCACAUCACAUUCUGUAUGCAGGAAGAGCCUAUGAAUGUGGCAACGGCCACAAGGCUGUUGAGUCUGUGCCAGCUACUUGCCAUGACUUUUUUUUAGCAAGCAUACCUUAGGAAACUGAACUUCGCUUGAAACUGAAACUACCCUCCCAAAAUCAUCUCCAAGGCUUUCACCCUGUCACCCAGGCUGGCAGGCUGGAGUUCAGUGGCACAAUCAUGACUCACUGCAGCCUUGACCUCCAAGCUCAGGGUUAUUUACAGACUAAAUGAGACAGUGUAUAUCUAACAUUGCUUUGUGGAUGCUAUCAAGUGCUGGCAAAUGUGUGGGAGAAUGAAUGGAAAACUUCAUCAAUUUCUAGGAUAGUAAAUUGGUGCUGCUAUUUUGGAGAGCAAUUUGUCAGCCUUCAGGGGAAACUGAAUAUGCACAUCCUCUAAGACCCAGCAGUUUCACUUCAAAGAAAAUUUCUUAUAUGCACAGAGACUUGUACAAGGAUAUUUAUCACAGCACUGUUUGUAAUAACAAAGGGCUGGAAAUAAACCAAAUGGCCAAUGAUAAGAAUUGAUAAAUGUGGUAAAUGCCUAAAAUAGAAUGUCACACAGCAGUUAAAAAAUCAUUUAUUCACUAAUUAAGCAAAGGACAAAAAGCCUCAACAGAAAAAAAAAGACAAAAGCCUUGAAUAGUCACUUUGCCAAAUGUUCAAUACACGUACAAAAACAUGGGCAAGUUCAUUGGUUGUCAAGGAAGUUCGAAUUAAAGCCACAUUUUGCAGGUACAACACUGGCACAAGUUUAAGUCUGAUGAUACCAAGUCUUGGAGAAGGUUGAAGCUACUGGAAAACCUGCCCUCUGCUGGUGGGAGUGCAAAUUGCUCCAAGCUCUUUGGACAAUAAUUUGGCAUCCUCUAGUGAAGUUGAAGAUGUGUGUGCUUGAGACUCAGCAAUUCCCCUUUGUGACAUCAGGAUGCUCCCGCACAUAUGCUUAAGAACAUUCAUGCCAGCUUUGUUUAUAUAACAAAAACGUGGAAAUAACCCAAAUGUCUGAGGAUGGGGAAUGGACAAAUAAUGGUUCAUAGUUAUGAAAAUGAAUACACAACAGCUACAAGCAUCUACUGGAAUGAAUCUCACAUGCAUUGUGUUGUAGAAGAAUAUGUAUAAUUCCAUUUAUGUAAAGUUUAAAAGCAUGCACAACUAAAUGAUAUGUUAUUUAUGAGUAUAUGACAUAUAUGAUAAAGGCAAAGAAUAAAUAAAGUAAGGAAAGGUAAGACAAUAAGAGUUUGUGAUACUGGUUACCUAUUAUGGGGAAGGAUGUUGGGGACAGGUGGGACACCUUGGGGAUUAUCUGAUACUGGCAAUCUGACAGGUGGUAGGUCACCAGGUGUUCUUAUUAACUUCAAUACUCUAUAUAUCCUAACACUGGUAAAUCUCAAGUAUGUAAUACUGAAUGAAAAAAAAUCAAAAGUCAAAUAGUACAGUCCUAUUUGUG